AGAGUUUGAUCCUGGCUCAGAACGAACGCUGGCGGCGUGGAUAAGACAUGCAAGUCGAGCGGGAUUUUUUCCUGUAGCAAUAUAGGGAAAAGUCUAGCGGCGAACGGGUGCUUAACACGUGGGCAAUCUGCCGAGAAGUGGGGGAUAGCUCGCCGAAAGGCGAAUUAAUACCGCAUGUGAUCAGAGUGGACAUCCAUUCAAAAUUAAAGUCGGGGCAACCUGACGCUUCUUGAGGAGCCCGCGGCCUAUCAGCUAGUUGGUGAGGUAACGGCCCACCAAGGCUUUGACGGGUAGCUGGUCUGAGAGGACGACCAGCCACACUGGGACUGAGACACGGCCCAGACACCUACGGGUGGCAGCAGUCGAGAAUUUUUCUCAAUGGGGGAAACCCUGAAGGAGCGACGCCGCGUGGAGGAUGAAGGUCCUCGGAUUGUAAACUUCUGUCAUUGGGGAACAAGGUGCAUACGUUAACUGCGUGUGCAUUGAUAGUACCCGAAGAGGAAGAGACGGCUAACUCUGUGCCAGCAGCCGCGGUAAUACAGAGGUCUCAAGCGUUGUUCGGAUUCAUUGGGCGUAAAGGGUGCGUAGGCGGCGCGGUAAGUCGGGUGUGAAAUCUUGGAGCUUAACUCCGAAACUGCAUUCGAUACUGCCGUGCUUGAGGACUGGAGAGGAGACUGGAAUUUACGGUGUAGCGGUGAAAUGCGUAGAUAUCGUAAGGAAGACCAGUGGCGAAGGCGGGUCUCUGGACAGUUCCUGACGCUGAGGCACGAAAGCCAGGGGAGCAAACGGGAUUAGAUACCCCGGUAGUCC
This 810-nucleotide ribosomal RNA is filed under the name uncultured bacterium. RNAcentral's name for it is "bacterial SSU rRNA". It matches the Rfam family "Bacterial small subunit ribosomal RNA", at positions 8 to 796 of the family's 1533-position model. The record is from RNAcentral.